CUCACAAGCAUCACUUUAUUAUUCAACCCUCUACAACAUUUUAGGGUUGGUGAAUUUGCACAGAAAUAAUUCAAACACAGUCUAGCGGUUAAUUUAUCAGUUCUGGUAACUAAAGACACCCAAAUUCCUGGACAUAAAGCCCCAGAAAAGUGUCAUCACCUCUCUGACAACAUGCAUAAAAAACACAGGUGAAAUAAGAAAAGGAAAGUGAUUCUCAGAACCCAGCAUAUGUGUCUCUUGUUAUUGCAUUGUGAGAAUUUUCACCAUGAGAAUAAAAAAGGGCAUUCUGGGAGGAGGAGACAGCAAUGGGAAGCAGGUGUAAACAAGAAUGGCAUGUUGCAGAACUGCAGUUAAGGGAAAUGGCUCACACUGAGUGGCUACUGCCCGGCAGGCACUGUACUAGGUUCUUCACCUGUGUCAUUUCACUUAAUUAUCACAGCAAAUCUACCCAGAAGACAUUUUUUUCCAUUUUAUAGGUGAUAAAACUGAGGCCCCAAGGGCCCAAGUGCCUUAAAAGAGGUCACAUAGCUCAUGAAUGGUAGAGCCAGAGUCAGAAACAGGUCUGCCUGCUUUGAAAGCUCCUGCCACUCCCUCUGGAGACUCAGGGCCCGGGGGAGGGAGUGGGAUAGUAGACACUCUCAUAUACUGCUAAUGGGAGUGUAAAUUGGUUCCACUUUUUAGAGAGACAUUUAAUAAUAUCUGUGGAAAUGUUAAGCAUACACAACCAUCAAAUUCAGCAAAAUUGUCUUCUUGGGAUUUAUCCUAGAGACACACUUUCACAAUUACACUAUGAUGUAUGUAUAAGAGUGUUCAUACCAGCGUGGUUUGUGAUACAGAAAAACUGAAAGCAUCCUAAGUAUCCACUAAUAGAUUGGUUACGGUAAAAACCACACUAUCAGAUAUACUGCACUCAUUAAAAAGAACAAGGUAAAUCUAUGUGGACACAUGAAAAGACAGUCUCAGUAUUGCUCAAUAAAAAUAGGAGGUUUCACAAGAGCACAUAUCUGUGAGUGUUCAUGGCAGGGGUUCAAUCCUCUUUCAGGCAUGCACCAUUUGCUCUUGUCAAUGGUGAUCUUCUAGGGAGUGGUGAACUUGAGGGUGGUUCUUGGUGAAGUGGAGAGGGAAACUUUUACUUUCACUGUGCCAUCCUAAUCUGAAUUUUUUCCUAAUAAGCAAGUAUUACUUUCAUAAUAAAAGAAUUUUUUUUUUUUUACAAAGGCCCUUUGUGAACUUAGAAAAUAAUGGAAGCUUUUUACAACACAAAAAUGAAGUGGGUCAGGAUCUGUUGAAGAAUAAAGGGAAGGCAGAUGAUGAUUAAGGAGCUAAUGAUUGCCAAAGGUCAUUUAUGUCUUCACGCUAAUUGCCAACACAGAUUCACAAAGAACUUCAGCACUGGAAAGGGUGUACCUUGAACACAGAAGACCAAAAAGGAAACUCUUCGUGAUACUUUGAAUACCUUGUCAAACCAACCUUGAAAUGCUCUGAUACUCUCUCAACCCUAUUCAGUGCCUGGAAUCUUCAACAUGUUCUAUUCGUACAAAGCACAAUCAGUAUAAAGGGAACCUGGUAGGCAGCUCAAGUAGGAAGAGGAGUCCUUUUCCCCAAAAAACUUGGCUGCUGCAAACCACACUAUUCUCAGGCUGCAUGGGGGUCUCAUCAGUGACAGCUGUAGCCCUUUCUGCAUGGAAAUAUUCUUCCUCUGAUGUGGAGGCAGAUUGCAUUUGCCUGGUUAAUCCAGCCGUACACUGGAGAAAUGAGAAAAGGCCCAAGCAACCCAUAUGUGCUAUAGAUUCUAAAAGGAGAGAAGCCGACCAACAGGGUUUUUUUGCCCAUUUUUUCUGAUAAUGUCAACAUGGCCACUAUUGUUUCAUUGGUUUGCUUCGCUCUGAGGCUAAAUGGAAUUUAUGCUGAGUGAAUAUCUCUGAGGUGCCUCAGAUAUCUCAGGGCACUUUUUGCAGAACACAUGACUGAAAACUUACUCUGAAUUUUUUGCAUAGAAAUAAGGUAUUUAUUUAAAAUUUGCUGUGGGGAAUUUAUGGUUUAAUUUAAAAUUAGGAGCAAAAAAUUUGCUCCUAAUUGCUCAAUGCUUCCUAUUCUUCUAACUUCGUUCUAGUUAGGUUUCCGUAGGCUGUUAAAACCAUUGUUUGU
Molecule: long non-coding RNA, 2148 nt
Filed under: Canis lupus familiaris (dog)
Lineage: Eukaryota; Metazoa; Chordata; Mammalia; Carnivora; Canidae
Description: lncRNA (ENSCAFG00845017002.1)
Source: RNAcentral